GCUUGUCUCAAAGAUUAAGCCAUGCAUGUCUAAGUAUAACUCUUUUACUUUGAAAACUGCGAACGGCUCAUUAUAUCAGUUAUAGUUUCUUUGAUAGUCCCUUACUACUUGGAUACCCGUAGUAAUUCUAGAGCUAAUACAUGCAUCAAUACCCAACUGUUCGCGGAAGGGUAGUAUUUAUUAGGUAUAGACCAACCCUCCUCGGAGGUGCUUUGGUGAUUCAUAAUAACUGAUCGAAUCUCAAAUUUGAGAUAAAUCAUUCAAGUUUCUGCCCUAUCAGCUUUCGAUGGUAGUGUAUUGGACUACCAUGGCAGUAACGGGUAACGAAGAAUUAGGGUUCGAUUUCGGAGAGGGAGCCUGAGAAACGGCUACCACAUCCAAGGAAGGCAGCAGG
RNAcentral lists this ribosomal RNA (394 nucleotides) under Stephanodiscus hantzschii. RNAcentral's name for it is "partial small subunit ribosomal RNA". It matches the Rfam family "Eukaryotic small subunit ribosomal RNA", at positions 30 to 432 of the family's 1831-position model. Lineage: Eukaryota; Bacillariophyta; Thalassiosirophyceae; Thalassiosirales; Thalassiosiraceae. The record is from RNAcentral.